GGACAAUCUAACCUACGGAGGGGGAUAACCCCGGGAAACUGGGGAUAAUACCCCAUAGACUAUAGAUGCUGGAAUGCUCUGUAGUCGAAAGGUCCGCCGCCGUAGGAUGGGUCUGCGGCCGGUUAGGUUGUUGUUGGGGUAACGGCCCAACAAGCCUGUAAUCGGUACGGGUUGUGGGAGCAAGAGCCCGGAGAUGGAUUCUGAGACACGAAUCCAGGCCCUACGGGGCGCAGCAGGCGCGAAAACUUUACAAUGCGGGAAACCGUGAUAGGGGAACUCCGAGUGCCCGUAAAAUCGGGCUGUCCACCGGUUUAAAUAACCGGUGAAGAAAGGGCCGGGCAAGACCGGUGCCAGCCGCCGCGGUAAUACCGGCGGCUCGAGUGGUGGCCACUAUUACUGGGCUUAAAGCGUUCGUAGCUGGUUUGUUAAGUCUCUGGGGAAAUCUUCCGGCUUAACCGGAAGGCGUAUCAGGGAUACUGGCAGGCUAGGGACCGGGAGGGGUGAGGGGUACUCCAGGGGUAGGAGUGAAAUCCUGU
RNAcentral lists this ribosomal RNA (536 nucleotides) under uncultured archaeon. RNAcentral's name for it is "bacterial SSU rRNA". It matches the Rfam family "Archaeal small subunit ribosomal RNA", at positions 102 to 643 of the family's 1478-position model. The record is from RNAcentral.